RNAcentral lists this ribosomal RNA (410 nucleotides) under uncultured soil bacterium. Its description in RNAcentral is "bacterial SSU rRNA". It matches the Rfam family "Bacterial small subunit ribosomal RNA", at positions 26 to 407 of the family's 1533-position model. The record is from RNAcentral.
AGAGUGAACGCUGGCGGCAGGCCUAACACAUGCAAGUCGAACGGCAGCACAGUAAGAGCUUGCUCUUAUGGGUGGCGAGUGGCGGACGGGUGAGGAAUACAUCGGAAUCUGCCUAUUUGUGGGGGAUAACGUAGGGAAACUUACGCUAAUACCGCAUACGACCUACGGGUGAAAGCGGAGGACCUUCGGGCUUCGCGCAGAUAGAUGAGCCGAUGUCGGAUUAGCUAGUUGGUGGGGUAAAGGCCCACCAAGGCGACGAUCCGUAGCUGGUCUGAGAGGAUGAUCAGCCAACACUAGGAACUGAGACACGGUCCAAGACCUCCGUACGGGAGCGAGCAAGGUGGGGGAAAUAGUUAGGACAAAGUGGGACGCAAAGCCUAGGACUCCAACGCCGAAUGGCCGCGUUGGAA